This 433-nucleotide ribosomal RNA is filed under the name uncultured bacterium. Its description in RNAcentral is "partial 16S ribosomal RNA". It matches the Rfam family "Bacterial small subunit ribosomal RNA", at positions 29 to 507 of the family's 1533-position model. The record is from RNAcentral.
AACGAACGCUGGCGGCAUGCCUAACACAUGCAAGUCGAACGAGACCUUCGGGUCUAGUGGCGCACGGGUGCGUAACGCGUGGGAACCUGCCCUUAGGUUCGGAAUAACUCCCCGACAGGGGUGCUAAUACCGGAUAAUGUCUUCGGACCAAAGAUUUAUCGCCUUUGGAUGGGCCCGCGUUGGAUUAGCUAGUUGGUAGGGUAAAAGCCUACCAAGGCGACGAUCCAUAGCUGGUCUGAGAGGAUGAUCAGCCACACUGGGACUGAGACACGGCCCAGACUCCUACGGGAGGCAGCAGUGGGGAAUAGUGGAAAAUGGGCGAAAGCCUGAUCCAGCAAUGCCGCGUGAGUGAUGAAGGCCUUAGGGUUGUAAAGCUCUUUUACCCGGGAUGAUAAUGACAGUACCGGGAGAAUAAGCUCCGGCUAACUCCGUG